RNAcentral lists this ribosomal RNA (462 nucleotides) under uncultured bacterium. Its description in RNAcentral is "partial 16S ribosomal RNA". It matches the Rfam family "Bacterial small subunit ribosomal RNA", at positions 28 to 507 of the family's 1533-position model. The record is from RNAcentral.
GACGAACGCUGGCGGCGUGCUUAACACAUGCAAGUCGAACGGAAAGGCCCUUCGGGGUCCUCGAGUGGCGAACGGGUGAGUAACACGUGGGUGAUCUGCCCUGCACUUUGGGAUAAGCCUGGGACACUGGGUCUAAUACCGAAUAGGACCACGCGCUUCAUGGUGUGUGGUGGAAAGCUUUUGCGGUGUGGGAUGGGCCCGCGGCCUAUCAGCUUGUUGGUGGGGUAAUGGCCUACCAAGGCGACGACGGGUAGCCGGCCUGAGAGGGUGACCGGCCACACUGGGACUGAGAUACGGCCCAGACUCCUACGGGAGGCAGCAGUGGGGAAUAUUGCACAAUGGGCGCAAGCCUGAUGCAGCGACGCCGCGUGAGGGAUGACGGCCUUCGGGUUGUAAACCUCUUUCACCAGGGACGAAGCGUAAGUGACGGUACCUGGAGAAGAAGCACCGGCCAACUACGUG